Molecule: ribosomal RNA, 384 nt
Filed under: uncultured eukaryote
Lineage: Eukaryota
Description: SSU rRNA
Rfam family: Eukaryotic small subunit ribosomal RNA
Source: RNAcentral
AGCUCCAAUAGCGUAUGUUAAAGUUGUUGAAGUUAAAAAGCUUGUAGUUGAAUUUGUGGUUAACGUAAGGCUUCCGUCCCUUUUUGGUUUCGAUUUUGGCUGACGUUGCCAUCCUUGGGUGGAAUCUGUGUGGCAUUAGGUUGUCGUGCAGGGGAUGCCCAUUGUUUACUGUGAAAAAAUUAGAGUGUUCAAAGCAGGCUUAUGCCGUUGAAUAUGUUAGCAUGGAAUAAUAAGAUAGGACCUUGGUACUAUUUUGUUGGUUUGCGCACCGAGGUAAUGAUUAAUAGGGACGGUUGGGGGUAUUCGUAUUCCAUUGUCAGAGGUGAAAUUCUUGGAUUUUUGGAAGACAAACUACUGCGAAAGCAUGUACCAAGGAUAUUUCCA